RNAcentral lists this ribosomal RNA (854 nucleotides) under uncultured bacterium. RNAcentral's name for it is "bacterial SSU rRNA". It matches the Rfam family "Bacterial small subunit ribosomal RNA", at positions 69 to 962 of the family's 1533-position model. The record is from RNAcentral.
GGANUCCUUCCGGAUUNCUAGUGGCGGACGGGUGAGUAACGCGUAAGAAUCUAACUUCAGGACGGGGACAACAGUUGGAAACGACUGCUAAUACCCGAUGUGCCGAAAGGUGAAACCUAAUUGGCCUGAAGAAGAGCUUGCGUCUGAUUAGCUAGUUGGUGGGGUAAAGGCCUACCAAGGCGACGAUCAGUAGCUGGUCUGAGAGGAUGAGCAGCCACACUGGGACUGAGACACGGCCCAGACUCCUACGGGAGGCAGCAGUGGGGAAUUUUCCGCAAUGGGCGAAAGCCUGACGGAGCAACGCCGCGUGAGGGAGGAAGGUCUUUGGAUUGUAAACCUCUUUUCUCAAGGAAGAAGUUCUGACGGUACUUGAGGAAUCAGCCUCGGCUAACCCCGUGCCAGCAGCCGCGGUAAUACGGGGGAGGCAAGCGUUAUCCGGAAUUAUUGGGCGUAAAGCGUCCGCAGGUGGUCAGCCAAGUCUGCCGUCAAAUCAGGUUGCUUAACGACCUAAAGGCGGUGGAAACUGGCAGACUAGAGAGCAGUAGGGGUAGCAGGAAUUCCCAGUGUAGCGGUGAAAUGCGUAGAGAUUGGGAAGAACAUCGGUGGCGAAAGCGUGCUACUGGGCUGUAUCUGACACUCANGGACGAAAGCUAGGGGAGCGAAAGGGAUUAGAUACCCCUGUAGUCCUAGCCGUAAACGAUGGAUACUNNGCGUGGCUUGUAUCGACCCGANCCGUGCCGAANCUAACGCGUUAAGUAUCCCGCCUGGGGAGUACGCACGCAAGUGUGAAACUCAAAGGAAUUGACGGGGGCCCGCACAAGCGGUGGAGUAUGUGGUUUNAUUCGAUGCNACGC